RNAcentral lists this long non-coding RNA (1026 nucleotides) under Chelonoidis abingdonii (Abingdon island giant tortoise). RNAcentral describes it as "lncRNA (ENSCABG00000006889.1)". The record is from RNAcentral. Lineage: Eukaryota; Metazoa; Chordata; Testudines; Testudinidae.
GGAUCCCGGCCCUGCUCCUGUAACUGCCGAGGGUUUGAAUUUAAAUCCAGGGAACCAAUUGGCUGGGAUGGAAAUGGUCAGUGAAAAUGCAAAUGACCUGGCUGGCAGGGGGGAGGGGCUGCUGGACUCAGGAUACCUGCCUACCUGUAACCAGCCCCCUGAGACUGAGGGGGAGGGAGAGAUGCUCCCCGCCCCCCUGCACACCGGAGAGGGGGCUCACGCUGGCUCUGAUGCUGAGACCAGAGCAGAGAGCUCGCUGCCUGCCCCCACUGGGACAGCCAGGGCAGCGCUGAGCACGGGGGGAGCUGAGACCCCAGCUGAGUGGGGGGACACCCAGGCAAGGCAGGUCAGCUGCCAACCAGGUUUGCCUGGUCCAGACGUGCUGCUGGGAAAUGAUUACACAGCAGGGAGGGAGCUACCAGGGACAAGGCUCAGAGGGGCUGUGACCCCAGGCCCAGCCAGUGAGAGGGAGCAGGUCCCACUCCCUGCCCCAGCAGCUGAAUCCCAGACCGAGCUGCAGAGAGAUCCCUCCUUGGAGAAGCUGAGGGAACUUGCUGGCCACAGCGCUGCAAACCCCCUUGGGGAAGGCUGCAGGGACAGAGUCCUGCGGGAGAAGGGAUUCCUGUACCGGGAAUGGGCUCCCCAAGGGGAAGUAGAACUGAGGGGAAUCAGGAGGCAGCUGGUGGUGCCCCAGGAAUCCACAGGGUUCUUCCCUCUCAAGCUGCUGGAUGGGAGGAGAGUGAGGGGACCCCUGGACCGGAAAGGGGAGGAUUGGGAGGAGAAGGGGAAAGACCCCCUGGUGGAUCUCUUCCCUGAGGUGGGAGCCAAUCUCCCCAUCAGGUGUUCCCCAUUCAGAGUCACUGGGAAAGCAACCCAGAUCCUGGAGAGAGAGGUCAAGGACAUGCUGGCUUUAGAUGGGAUCCAGCCGUUUUACAGCCCAUGGGCCUCAUCCGUGGGGCUGAUCCCCAAGGGAGACAGGAUGGUCUGGUUUUAUGGGGGCUAUCAGAAGCUUAAAGCCAUCACAGU